Mesocricetus auratus (golden hamster) is the source of this 138-nucleotide small nucleolar RNA. The record is from Ensembl. NCBI's taxonomy places the organism in Eukaryota, Metazoa, Chordata, Mammalia, Rodentia, Cricetidae.
UCUCUCUUAGCCUUGCUGGGUCACAACGGGUCAAAUGUGUGCUUGGUAUCUUUUGAAGAGAGAGAGUGAGGAAAGUCCUCCCAAUGCGUGGCAGACCUGUCCCACAGUGGCCUUUCUGAUGCUAGAAAUAUAACAGGU